CAACCCAGGGUCGAUGUGAAAAUCAAACCAGACUCGAUGCUGCCCUGCAAAACCGGAACGCUGGAGUGAAGCCGCACGGCCAGAUGCGUCAACUAGACUGACGAGCAGAGAUAAAAGCAAAGGCUGACAUCUAAAGUCAAAGUUUUUGACUUAGUCAUCAUUGCCUUGGCCUUGUGCAUCCUCCUCAUCACGGCUGUCUACUGCAUCAGUGUGUGCUACAACCGCAGCAGGUGAUGCACACACAUACAUCACAGUGCAUGUGGGCCACCGUUAGCUUUCUGCAAUGCCAUAAUAAUCAUAUAUGCAAGGAGUGUCAUUCAGAAAAGCGCAGACCUCCGCUAAGGCCGAACUGUUGACAACAGUGAAUGAAAAAUGAUAGAACACAGUUGUAUCUGUUUGUUAG
Hippocampus comes (tiger tail seahorse) is the source of this 403-nucleotide long non-coding RNA. RefSeq lists it as uncharacterized. The record is from RefSeq and is a predicted model, not a curated record. The transcript is spliced from 3 exons. NCBI's taxonomy places the organism in Eukaryota, Metazoa, Chordata, Actinopteri, Syngnathiformes, Syngnathidae.